GUGAGGAACACGUAGGAAUCGGCCCACGAGUGGGGGACAACCUGGGGAAACUCAGGCUAAUACCGCAUACGCUCGCGAGAGGAAAGCGGGGGACCUUCGGGCCUCGCGCUGGUGGACGAGCCUACGUCCGAUUAGCUAGUUGGUGGGGUAACGGCCUACCAAGGCGACGAUCGGUAGCGGGUCUGAGAGGACGACCCGCCACACUGGGACUGAGACACGGCCCAGACUCCUACGGGAGGCAGCAGUGGGGAAUAUUGGACAAUGGGCGCAAGCCUGAUCCAGCAAUGCCGCGUGGGUGAAGACGGCCUGCGGGUUGUAAAGCCCUUUAGGCGGGGAGGAACGGUCGGGUGCCAAUACCACCCGGCGCUGACGUUACCCGCAGAAUAAGCACCGGCUAACUCCGUGCCAGCAGCCGCGGUAAUACGGAGGGUGCGAGCGUUAAUCGGAAUUACUGGGCGUAAAGCGUGCGUAGGCGGUAGCGUCAGUCAGCCGUGAAAGCCCCGGGGCUUAACCUGGGAACGGCGGUUGAGACGGC
RNAcentral lists this ribosomal RNA (535 nucleotides) under uncultured bacterium. RNAcentral describes it as "bacterial SSU rRNA". It matches the Rfam family "Bacterial small subunit ribosomal RNA", at positions 106 to 636 of the family's 1533-position model. The record is from RNAcentral.